This 72-nucleotide transfer RNA is filed under the name Chelonia mydas (Green sea turtle). It matches the Rfam family "tRNA". From Rfam's summary of the family: Transfer RNA (tRNA) molecules are approximately 80 nucleotides in length. Their secondary structure includes four short double-helical elements and three loops (D, anti-codon, and T loops). Further hydrogen bonds mediate the characteristic L-shaped molecular structure. tRNAs have two regions of fundamental functional importance: the anti-codon, which is responsible for specific mRNA codon recognition, and the 3' end, to which the tRNAs corresponding amino acid is attached (by aminoacyl-tRNA synthetases). tRNAs cope with the degeneracy of the genetic code in two manners: having more than one tRNA (with a specific anti-codon) for a particular amino acid; and 'wobble' base-pairing, i.e. permitting non-standard base-pairing at the 3rd anti-codon position. Lineage: Eukaryota; Metazoa; Chordata; Testudines; Cheloniidae. The record is from Rfam by way of RNAcentral.
GGCAAUGUGGCCUAGUGGAUAGGGCAAUGGACUGGGACUCAGGAGACCUGGUUUCAACUGUCAGCUCUGCCA